CUCCAGCAUUACAUACAAAUGUUGUUGCAUAAGCCUCCCGGGGAUCCAGUUACAGAAGAUGUAGAGGCGGACAACUCCAUGAGCUCACACAACAACACUGUAGAUGAAUUGAAUGACACUGCACAAGCGGCCC
Saccostrea cuccullata (small rock oyster) is the source of this 133-nucleotide long non-coding RNA. RefSeq lists it as uncharacterized. The transcript has 3 exons. Lineage: Eukaryota; Metazoa; Mollusca; Bivalvia; Ostreida; Ostreidae. The record is from RefSeq and is a predicted model, not a curated record.